Molecule: long non-coding RNA, 167 nt
Organism: Diceros bicornis minor
Lineage: Eukaryota; Metazoa; Chordata; Mammalia; Perissodactyla; Rhinocerotidae
Exons: 3
Source: RefSeq, a predicted model, not a curated record
CCCUGCAUACUUGAUCAUCACCUGAGCCACCAGAAGCCACCACAGCUGGAUCAUUGUUCAAGAAGAGCAGCCUGGGCCCCUUCUACUCAAGUUGCAGACUGGUCUCCCUCAGGCCUGAGAAGGAUGGGGCAGCCACCUGUGUGGACGCUGUCUGCACCCACCACCCU